RNAcentral lists this transfer RNA (72 nucleotides) under Camelus bactrianus (Bactrian camel). It matches the Rfam family "tRNA". Rfam says of the family: Transfer RNA (tRNA) molecules are approximately 80 nucleotides in length. Their secondary structure includes four short double-helical elements and three loops (D, anti-codon, and T loops). RNAcentral also lists the same sequence under 2 other names. The record is from Rfam by way of RNAcentral. Lineage: Eukaryota; Metazoa; Chordata; Mammalia; Artiodactyla; Camelidae.
GGAGGUACAGCUCAGUGGCAGAGCGCAUGCUUAGCACGCAUGAGGUUCUGGGUUCAAUCCCCAGUACCUCCU